Pyrus x bretschneideri (Chinese white pear) is the source of this 1690-nucleotide RNA transcript. RefSeq lists it as uncharacterized. The record is from RefSeq and is a predicted model, not a curated record. The transcript has 9 exons. Lineage: Eukaryota; Viridiplantae; Streptophyta; Magnoliopsida; Rosales; Rosaceae.
GAGGGUAAUUAUGUCCGUAUGGUCUAGCACGGAGCCACUCGAUUUCAUGUUAUUUACAACAAAACCAUCAGAUCUCCGCUCACACCAGUCUCCAAUGGUGAACAGAAGUCCUUUUCGAAACCCAACCCCUUCGAGACCAAAUCACUAAAACCCGGCAGAGCUGACGCCAAUCACAACCAUGAGACGGCGGCGACGGUGAAGAAGAAAAAGAAUAAAUUAGGCCCGAACGCUGUCGCCAUGAAGCACCAGGUCCCCCUAAAACCCAACCCGUUGGAGACCAUUUGGUCCCGAAGGAAAUUCGACGUUCUCGGCAAAAGCGCAAAGGCGAAGAGCGCCGAGUUGGCCUCUCCCGCUCUCGCGCCAUUGAAAAGAGGAAGAACACGUUGCUGAAGGAGUACGAGCAGAGCAAUAAAGCUUCGGUCUUUGUCGAUAAACAAAUUGGGGAGCAUAAUGACGAGCUCAAUGAGUUCGAUAAAGCCAUUCGGCGUGCGCAGCGCGAGCAUCGAGUGUGGAAUGCAACUACUGGGUCAAAGUUGUAUACUUUCCAAGGUCAUGAUGCUCCCGUGCAUUCUGUGUGCCCUCAUAACAAACAAAAUGUCCAUUUUUUCUUUUCAACAUCAGUAAAUGGAAAAAUAAAAGCAUGGCUAUACGACAAUAUGGGAUACCAGGUGGAUUACGAUGCUCCUGAUCACUCAAUCACGACAAUGGCCUAUGGUGCAGAUGGUAAAAGGAUGGCUCUUUUCAUGCGGGACAAGUAAAGAUGGAGAAUCUCAUGUUGUUGAAUGGAAUGAAAAUGAUGGUGUAACAAAGAGGAAUUACGUAGGAUUUCAAAAACCAUCUUUGGGUGUUGUUCAGUUUGAUACAAGCAAGAAUAAGUAUUUGGCUGUUGGCGAUGACUAUGCAAUCAAAGUUUGGGGUAUGGAUAAAAUCAAUAUUUUGACCACUGUUGAUGCUGAAGGCGGUCUACCAGAAACUUGGAUUCGCAAAGGAUACCACAAUCUAUUUGACCGAAUCAAAAUGGGACAGCAAUCUUGAUGAUCUGAAAGACAUCUUCCCGAAAACGUAUAUCAAGGAUGGCACUAUCCCAGCAGACAAGAAGUCAAAGUACCUGGAUUCUGAAUUAGUUAUAGAAAGCUGCUUGGAACCCCUACUGGUGCAUUUCUAGAUCUGUUCUCUACUGUUCGAGAAAGCUGCUUCACUGCUUAAGAGAAGAGCAAGAGAUAAUGUGCACGAAAAUUCCUGAAAUCAGAUACAUAUCAAACCAGGACGGACUCCUGCAGUUUGAUAAUUGUAGUAUUUCAUACUCUUUUUCUAAGGGGGUUGCAGCACAAAACUUUAUGAUUAUGCAAGAGAUACUGAUAUUGCUAAUCACAUGUUUUCAGUUUUUUUUUUUUUUUUUUUUUUUUGUGAUUUUUAUGUGGUGUUUAUAUGUGCAGGCGACAGUCGCCUUGAGGUUGGUCUCAAACGGUUUCUCAUCAACUCAUCUACCAAAUCCACAAAACCAACUGCAGCUUCUUUGACUGAAUGAACUGGUGCCUUUACUGCCUGCUUGGACUUUUUCUUCAUGGAUCUGAAUUUCAAUACAGAAGGAACAACCCUUGGAAGUGGAAAUCCCUCCAAGGCCUCCCCAGAAGAGAGAGUGGAGGGGGCUAUUGCAUCUUCAAAUUAUUUUAAAGCCAUGUUUAUGGAA